UACCAUAGACUGAUUCAAGUGACA
RNAcentral lists this non-coding RNA (24 nucleotides) under Arabidopsis thaliana (thale cress). Lineage: Eukaryota; Viridiplantae; Streptophyta; Magnoliopsida; Brassicales; Brassicaceae. The record is from RNAcentral.